This 235-nucleotide ribosomal RNA is filed under the name uncultured bacterium. RNAcentral's name for it is "partial 16S ribosomal RNA". It matches the Rfam family "Bacterial small subunit ribosomal RNA", at positions 100 to 334 of the family's 1533-position model. The record is from RNAcentral.
CGGGACGGGUGGGUAAUGUCUGGGAAACGUGCCUGAUGGAGGGGGAUAACUACUGGAAACGGUAGCUAAUACCGCAUAACGUCGCAAGACCAAAGAGGGGGACCGUUCGGGCCUCUUGCCAUCGGAUGUGCCCAGAUGGGAUUAGCUAGUAGGUGGGGUAACGGCUCACCUAGGCGACGAUCCCUAGCUGGUCUGAGAGGAUGACCAGCCACACUGGAACUGAGACACGGUCCAG